AGCGAACGCUGGCGGUAGGCCUAACACAUGCAAGUCGAACGGCAGCACAGUAAGAGCUUGCUCUUACGGGUGGCGAGUGGCGGACGGGUGAGGAAUACAUCGGAAUCUACUUUUUCGUGGGGGAUAACGUAGGGAAACUUACGCUCAUACCGCAUACGACCUACGGGUGAAAGCAGGGGAUCUUCGGACCUUGCGCGAUUGAAUGAGCCGCUGUCGGAUUAGCUAGUUGGCGGGGUAAAGGCCCACCAAGGCGACGAUCCGUAGCUGGUCUGAGAGGAUGGUCGGCCACACUGGAACUGAGACACGGUCCAGACUCCUACGGGAGGCAGCAGUGGGGAAUAUGGGACAAUGGGGGCAAGCCUGAUCCAGCCAUACCGCGUGGGUGAAGAAGGCCUUCGGGUUGUAAAGCCCUUUUGUUGGGAAAGAAAAGCAGCAGGUUAAGACCCCGCUGUUCUGACGGUACCCAAAGAAUAAGCACCGGCUAACUUCGUG
This 492-nucleotide ribosomal RNA is filed under the name uncultured bacterium. RNAcentral's name for it is "partial 16S ribosomal RNA". It matches the Rfam family "Bacterial small subunit ribosomal RNA", at positions 29 to 507 of the family's 1533-position model. The record is from RNAcentral.